RNAcentral lists this ribosomal RNA (119 nucleotides) under Pteropus alecto (black flying fox). Lineage: Eukaryota; Metazoa; Chordata; Mammalia; Chiroptera; Pteropodidae. The record is from RNAcentral.
GUGUAGGGUCAUGCCACUCUGAACAUGCCCGAUCUCAUCUGAUUGUGGAAGCUAAGCAGGGUUGGGCUGGGUUAGUACUUGGAUGGGAGAUCACCUAGGAAUUCCGGGUGCUAUAGGCG